RNAcentral lists this transfer RNA (76 nucleotides) under Caudoviricetes sp. RNAcentral's name for it is "tRNA-Met". It matches the Rfam family "tRNA". Rfam says of the family: Transfer RNA (tRNA) molecules are approximately 80 nucleotides in length. The record is from RNAcentral. Lineage: Duplodnaviria; Heunggongvirae; Uroviricota; Caudoviricetes.
GCGGGGUGGAGCAGCUCGGUAGCUCGCUGGGCUCAUAACCCAGAGGUCCAUGGUUCAAAUCCAUGCCCCGCUACCA